RNAcentral lists this long non-coding RNA (749 nucleotides) under Helianthus annuus (common sunflower). The record is from RNAcentral. Lineage: Eukaryota; Viridiplantae; Streptophyta; Magnoliopsida; Asterales; Asteraceae.
GGAUAAAAGAGGACAUUACUGUAUUACAAAUAACAUUACAAUAUAUAGAAUCAAGGAAGAAGCUCCUUAAUUACUUAUUCACUUCAUAUUACUACAUCAUUUAUAUAUUAAGGGCAGAAUAUAACGUCAUAGUUGGUUCCACCGGGGCACGUAAAUGUGCUACUUGGAUCAUCCUUAGGAUAACUAUAUGCAUCAGGACAUCUGGUCUUGAAAAACCUUGAUAAAUCAGUUGGUCCACAGUUUCCAGAGUUGCAACAAUACUGAUCAGUUCUGUACACGGUGCAAGGGUUAUUGCACCCAUCGGGAGCCCGUAACUCAGCAGGGCACUGGCCAUUGAUAUCUGCGGUACAUGAGAUACCACGGGUGCACCCAUUAGAGUUGGGUCUAAACACCAUCGGCACAUUGAAUCCAUCCACAAGAGAAAUGUCAAAGAAAUCAAGAUUGUUGUACUGAUUCAGAGCGUACUCGGCUAAUGUGUUGGGUGGUGUACCAUAGCCUUGGCAUUGGAGGAGUCCAUUGCAAUCACCGGUCUGACACCUGCCACGCCCUGAGCCAUCAAAGUUGCAACCGGUUCGGGGCCAUAUACGGGCUCCUGCUGUGCCGGCUGCAACGGUUAAAGACCAGGUUUGGCCCGAGUUAAGUUGUCGGCCGCCACCAGGCACCGCACCGGCCCAAAUGGUGCGUCGACAAUUGUUUCGGAUAUUGAAAACGGCUGCAUUGGUGGAAUGACAUUACUGUAUUACAAUAUA